CUCUUGGACUCACUUGCUAUUCUCGAAAAAGGGGAAAGGAUUUGGGGUGGACAAUCGCGGAGCCUCUCGCUGGCUUUAGGGAGAGAGGACUGGGGUAGAGGAGAGCCCCAGGGAGCAGGCAGAGGUGGGUUGGCUAGGGCCUUGUGUGACUUGGGCUGAGAAACUUCACUUAUUCCCUGGCGCUGGCAGUUGUCAAACUGGGUCUUGUAGAUGCUAAGUCUCCAUAGAGGUAUCGUAGUUUGGUGACAAGGAUGGAACACCUUGAGUGAGCCUUUCCACUGGGCAAAUUGGAGGAUGUGUAGCCAUCUUCGGUCAGACAAGAGGCCUUGUUUGCUGAAGUCUUUCUUAAACACAUUGACUCAGAUAUUCUUUCUGGGAGCCCUGAGCCCUUCUAACCUCCAGUUCGUCCAUCAACUGAUUACUGCUCAGUCACCUCAGAUGAUACCACUGGGAGCCAGAGAACUGCCUAGCUGUGCCCUGCCUGAAUGUCUGACUCAUAACUCAUGGUGGAUGACCUUUUUCCUGAAGAAACUGCUGCAGAAUGAAAGCUCCAGGGGCUUGGGUGCAGCAAGUAGGCUAUGCAUUUCCCACCAGCAGGAAUCUAGCUCCUGGCCAAGGUGAGCCACGCAGAGCAGCAGCCACAGGUAUCAUCCUCCCGGGAGGCAGAUCCCAAUUCGCGGAGAAGACCUGGCCAGCGGGAGGAUGCCAGCCUCAUCCUCAAGGCUGGGAUUGGGACUCUUUCCAGAAGGAACGACCUCUGUGCUUGAGUUGGUUGGGGGGCGCAAUGGAUUCUUUAACACUGGGGAAAUUCAUACAGAUGAAAGUGGGAGACACAUGGCAGUGAACUAUAAACGUCAGCCAGGUCUUAGAAACGCUGGGGGAGGGACACACAAACCUUGUGAGAAGAAAAAUAAGCUUUUGUGGAAGUGAGGUUUGGAGGCCAAGAGUCCUUUAAGCGUCUUAAAGGAUCCACUGUGCAUCCUUUGUUAGUGGUGGGUGUGCUUCCUCCAACCCUAGCCUUUGGUUUACUUUUAUGUGCCACGGGAUUCUGUUGCUCCAGGGAUACCAGGCUCUUUAGAAGCCAUUCUAGCAGCUGGUCUCUGCUUGGGAAUGUACAAGUGUUGGCUCUGGGACAUGUAAUCACCUGUGCCUCCUGAUGUGGUUUCCAAGCAUCCACUGAGGUUUCUUUCACUUUGGGGGAAAAGAUGAGAGGCCCUGUGCUUAAACAAUUUGGAAGCAGAAAUCCAAACACCAGGGACCUGAGUGCAGCAAGGGCAGGGUCCUGGGAGGGCCUCUCCAGAAACCGUUCUCCUUCUGGAGGGAGGAUGGGGUCAUCUUUGCUGAGCAGAAGGCAGCGAUGGUUUCCUUUUAGAUGCUGUGGGUGCCCCUGUCAGCAAGAGCCCCAGGUGUGGCCUCAGGGGUGGGGAGGAGAGCUCUUUCAGUGUUGCCUUAGGUGUGUGUCUGUGUGUGUCCUAACCCAGUCCUUCCCACACUCCCCCACGUGCUGAUCACGACGAGCACCUCUAAGUCCUGGGUCUUUGCAUUAGAAAGUUAUUUGUUAGGGGUACAGGGGGCAGAGAAGGCACCUGGCACUCAUCCUCACCUCCAACUCCCAUGCUUGGGCAGGAUGUCUUUGUCCCUGAGUGAGGUGACGAGCUUUGCUGGCCCCACAGUCUUACCUGCCUGGUCGGGUGAGCCAAGGGGGACCCUGUCCAUGAUGUCUGGGCCAAGAUGUCCCUGUUGGCGACCCUGGCGGGUCCUCUGUCCUGCUGCUGCUCCUGUGGUCACGUAGGGGGUCUGCUUCUCAUGGACCCACCACCCCCGUGUAGUUGUAAUGCAAGUGAGGGGUUCUAAUUUUGUCAGCUUUAUCUUAGUGCAAUAAAGGUUAAUAUCACAGAACCGAAAACAAA
This is a long non-coding RNA of Pan troglodytes (chimpanzee), 1910 nucleotides long. RefSeq lists it as uncharacterized. NCBI's taxonomy places the organism in Eukaryota, Metazoa, Chordata, Mammalia, Primates, Hominidae. The transcript is spliced from 4 exons. The record is from RefSeq and is a predicted model, not a curated record.